Long non-coding RNA from Cryptomeria japonica (Japanese cedar), 1943 nucleotides. RefSeq lists it as uncharacterized. Lineage: Eukaryota; Viridiplantae; Streptophyta; Pinopsida; Cupressales; Cupressaceae. The record is from RefSeq and is a predicted model, not a curated record. The transcript has 4 exons.
UAAAACAAAAGUAUUUUGUUGGAAGUAAAUUAAAACUCUUUCAAAAGUUUUUCUCCGGCUGAGUUUAUCAAACCCUAAUACAUCCACCGCCAUGAGUUUCACUCUAGCAGUUACAGGGCAAAAUAUUGUCAGAUUCUGGUUAUGGGUUUUUGGUAUGACAAUCCGCAAGGUUAAACGAGUCGAAUGGUGGUCUUAGUUGCCGAUUUCAAUGGGAUUUUGUGCAGAUAUUUAGGAUUUCAUUCUCCGGUACAUCUCUUCAAAAGAACAGAUCCUUCAUGCAAUCGUUUGACAAGGUUUAGCAGCAGAAAAUAAAUGGAGAACAAAGAAGGACCAAGAAAGAAAAAGGAUGCAAGAAGAUCGUGAUUCUGUAUACUGCAAAAGACUUAAAAGCUGGGAAAACUAAUUGGAAAAAGAAAAGGAUGCAAGAAGAUCGUGAUUCUGUAUACUGCAAAAGACUCAAAAGCUGGGAAAACUAAUUGGAUGAUGCAUCAGUACCAUCUUGGUACUGAGAAGGCUGAAAAGGAAGGCGCAUUCGUUGUGUCAAAAGUAUAACCCCACUUCCUUCUCGUCUUCAUCUGUACCAAGAUGAUACUCAUGCAUCACCCAGUUAGUUUUCUCUGUAUAUAAAAGCAUUGAGAGCAUGUGUGCUUCCUGACCAUCGUUGAAGAGGAUGGGUGUUUCCAUUGGAUCAAGAUCAAAUAAGUUGGAUGAAAAGAUUUCUGCAAAGAAAGAAGAAGUGGACAGAAAGAAGAAGUGGAGAGAACCUUGGAAUUAUUUCAUCUACAUCUUGAUAAAGGAGGUUAAUUAUAUAUAGAACAAGAAACAACCGUCAUUCUUUAUAUUAGGUUUUUAAGAGAGAACAACAAUAAUAAUAUGUGUAGGUAAAAUGUCAUUAGCCUUUCUAAAUGCAUAACAACUCUAAUGUUGUAUUAAGGGUUCUACAGAUGCUCCAUUGCAAGACACUACUACUUUUAGUUUGUGAAAAGGCUUCCUAAGAAUUUAUGUUGUUGUAUAUUGAUGAGAGUGCCCACGUUAAAUUGAAACCUUUUUGAAAACAAUAUAAUGGAACCUGAGGAAUUCCCCCUUCUAAAAAUAAAUCUAUUACCAUCAUAAAUUGAUUAUGUAAGUGCAUUUGUAAGUUGAAACAUCAAUAUUCAGUUACAAGUAAGGAAUGACGUCUCGAAUGCAAUCAACUUGCACUUUCUGAAUAUUUCUUCAAGAACUCAUGGAGUAAUGCCAGUACAGUUCUUAGAUGGAAGUAAUGUGAGUACAGUUCUUAGAUGGAAGUAAUGUGAUUUGAAGAUAAUGAGGCCUGUUAGUGUUGGUCAUAUCCCUGCAUGCAUAUUUGAUAUGUAUUAGGUAAUAGACACAAUAAAGAUGUAUAUCAGAUGAUUGAAAAUUUUGUGGUAUGUCUAGAAAUGACUGAGGAGGGGCUAUAUACCCGAUUUGUAUGUAUGUUUACCCACUGUAUUCAUGAUUUUAAUACAUAGUCUCAACAACAUUCACUCUUUAGCUAUCAAUUCAUUUUCUCACAGCUCUAUUGAUAUUCAUGUCUCUCUUUUUACUAAAGCAUGUAUUGUAAUAAUGUGAUGCUGCCAAAAAGGUUGCCCACUUGAAAAUGCUCUUGGACCAUUUGGGAAAUGCCCCUUGUAUGGUGGCAUGGCAUGAGUGUUGUUAGAUUAUUCUACCUCCCAUGACCGCUCUCUGUCUCGUGACCACUCUCUACCUCGGGGCCGAUGGUGCGGUUGCAACUCCUCUGCUCCUCGCUCACAACUCCCAUGGGCACAGUUUUCUCACCACUAGUCCUGUAGUGGUAGUGACUUCAAUCAGUGUUGCUCAGCCUCUACGCCAUGUCGUGGAUCUGCUUCCGGGUGGGGUACAAGGGGUGUUGAUUUUCUUGCUGCUGGUGGUUCUAGUUGGUCGAAUACCAGCAGAGAUUUUAC